CCGAACCGACUAAUGUUGAAAAAUUAGCGGAUGACCUGUGGCUGGGGGUGAAAGGCCAAUCAAACCGGGAGAUAGCUGGUUCUCCCCGAAAGCUAUUUAGGUAGCGCCUCGUGAAUUCAUCUCCGGGGGUAGAGCACUGUUUCGGCUAGGGGGCCAUCCCGGCUUACCAACCCGAUGCAAACUGCGAAUACCGGAGAAUGUUAUCACGGGAGACACACGGCGGGUGCUAACGUCCGUCGUGAAGAGGGAAACAACCCAGACCGCCAGCUAAGGUCCCAAAGUCAUGGUUAAGUGGGAAACGAUGUGGGAAGGCCCAGACAGCCAGGAUGUUGGCUUAGAAGCAGCCAUCAUUUAAAGAAAGCGUAAUAGCUCACUGGUCGAGUCGGCCUGCGCGGAAGAUGUAACGGGGCUAAACCAUGCACCGAAGCUGCGGCAGCGACACUGUGUGUUGUUGGGUAGGGGAGCGUUCUGUAAGCCUGUGAAGGUGUGUCGUGAGGCAUGCUGGAGGUAUCAGAAGUGCGAAUGCUGACAUAAGUAACGAUAAAGCGGGUGAAAAGCCCGCUCGCCGGAAGACCAAGGGUUCCUGUCCAACGUUAAUCGGGGCAGGGUGAGUCGACCCCUAAGGCGAGGCCGAAAGGCGUAGUCGAUGGGAAACGGGUUAAUAUUCCCGUACUUGGUGUUACUGCGAAGGGGGGACGGAGAAGGCUAUGUUGGCCGGGCGACGGUUGUCCCGGUUUAAGUGUGUAGGUGUGUGUUCCAGGUAAAUCCGGUUCACUUUAACACUGAGGCGUGACGACGAGGCACUACGGUGCUGAAGCAACAAAUGCCCUGCUUCCAGGAAAAGCCUCUAAGCAUCAGGUAACAUCAAAUCGUACCCCAAACCGACACAGGUGGUCAGGUAGAGAAUACCAAGGCGCUUGAGAGAACUCGGGUGAAGGAACUAGGCAAAAUGGUGCCGUAACUUCGGGAGAAGGCACGCUGACACGUAGGUGAAGUGAUUUACUCAUGGAGCUGAAGUCAGUCGAAGAUACCAGCUGGCUGCAACUGUUUAUUAAAAACACAGCACUGUGCAAACACGAAAGUGGACGUAUACGGUGUGACGCCUGCCCGGUGCCGGAAGGUUAAUUGAUGGGGUCAGCGCAAGCGAAGCUCCUGAUCGAAGCCCCGGUAAACGGCGGCCGUAACUAUAACGGUCCUAAGGUAGCGAAAUUCCUUGUCGGGUAAGUUCCGACCUGCACGAAUGGCGUAAUGAUGGCCAGGCUGUCUCCACCCGAGACUCAGUGAAAUUGAACUCGCUGUGAAGAUGCAGUGUACCCGCGGCAAGACGGAAAGACCCCGUGAACCUUUACUAUAGCUUGACACUGAACAUUGAGCCUUGAUGUGUAGGAUAGGUGGGAGGCUUUGAAGUGUGGACGCCAGUCUGCAUGGAGCCGACCUUGAAAUACCACCCUUUAAUGUUUGAUGUUCUAACGUGGACCCGUUACCCGGGUUGCGGACAGUGUCUGGUGGGUAGUUUGACUGGGGCGGUCUCCUCCUAAAGAGUAACGGAGGAGCACGAAGGUUGGCUAAUCCUGGUCGGACAUCAGGAGGUUAGUGCAAUGGCAUAAGCCAGCUUGACUGCGAGCGUGACGGCGCGAGCAGGUGCGAAAGCAGGUCAUAGUGAUCCGGUGGUUCUGAAUGGAAGGGCCAUCGCUCAACGGAUAAAAGGUACUCCGGGGAUAACAGGCUGAUACCGCCCAAGAGUUCAUAUCGACGGCGGUGUUUGGCACCUCGAUGUCGGCUCAUCACAUCCUGGGGCUGAAGUAGGUCCCAAGGGUAUGGCUGUUCGCCAUUUAAAGUGGUACGCGAGCUGGGUUUAGAACGUCGUGAGACAGUUCGGUCCCUAUCUGCCGUGGGCGCUGGAGAACUGAGGGGGGCUGCUCCUAGUACGAGAGGACCGGAGUGGACGCAUCACUGGUGUUCGGGUUGUCAUGCCAAUGGCACUGCCCGGUAGCUAAAUGCGGAAGAGAUAAGUGCUGAAAGCAUCUAAGCACGAAACUUGCCCCGAG
RNAcentral lists this ribosomal RNA (2048 nucleotides) under Salmonella enterica subsp. enterica serovar Enteritidis. RNAcentral describes it as "partial 23S ribosomal RNA". It matches the Rfam family "Bacterial large subunit ribosomal RNA", at positions 774 to 2803 of the family's 2925-position model. The record is from RNAcentral. Lineage: Bacteria; Pseudomonadati; Pseudomonadota; Gammaproteobacteria; Enterobacterales; Enterobacteriaceae.